CGCAUCUGUGCAUGCAGCAUAUCAAUAAGCGGAGGAAAAGAAACUAACAAGGAUUCCCCUAGUAACGGCGAGUGAAGCGGGAAGAGCUCAAAUUUGAAAUCUUAAAGGGUUUCCCUUUACGAAUUGUAGUUUAAAGAAGUGUUUUCUGUUGAGGUUUUGGUAAAAGUUCUUUGGAAUAGGACAUCAUAGAGGGUGAGAAUCCCGUAUUUGACCUUUACUUUCAACUUUGUGAUACACUUUCAAAGAGUCGGAUUGUUUGGGAAUGCAGUCCGAAAUGGGUGGUAAAUUUCAUCUAAAGCUAAAUAUUGGCGAGAGACCGAUAGCGAACAAGUACCGUGAGGGAAAGAUGAAAAGAACUUUGAAAAGAGAGUUAAACAGUACGUGAAAUUGUCAAAAGGGAAGCGUUUGACACCAGUGUUGUUUUUCUGAAAAUCAAUUAAAGAACUGUUUAUGCUAAGCUGUUUAGACUUUAUCAGCUAUCUGUUUAGUUUUGAGCUUUUCUUUAAUGCACUUUUUCAGUUAACAAGUCAACAUCAAUUUCUUUUGCUGUAAAAAAGCUUGAGGAAGGUGGCUUGAGAUUCGUCUUAAGUGUUUAUAGCCUCUUGCCUAUGCAGUCGGAGAGAUUGAGGUCUGCAGCGUAGAUCCUUCGGGGCUAAAUGCAUUUGCGCUAAGUUAUAGCAUUUUAUAGACAACUUGUUGACUAUGAUUUGUCUUGUAGCUUACUCGCUUAUGUUAUUUUACCUACGCUUAGGAUGUUGAGUCGUAGAGCACGCAG
This 775-nucleotide ribosomal RNA is filed under the name uncultured Neocallimastigales. Its description in RNAcentral is "partial large subunit ribosomal RNA". It matches the Rfam family "Eukaryotic large subunit ribosomal RNA", at positions 26 to 628 of the family's 3401-position model. The record is from RNAcentral. Lineage: Eukaryota; Fungi; Neocallimastigomycota; Neocallimastigomycetes; Neocallimastigales.